This 497-nucleotide ribosomal RNA is filed under the name uncultured bacterium. RNAcentral describes it as "partial 16S ribosomal RNA". It matches the Rfam family "Bacterial small subunit ribosomal RNA", at positions 28 to 507 of the family's 1533-position model. The record is from RNAcentral.
GAUGAACGCUGGCGGCGUGCCUAAUACAUGCAAGUCGAGCGAACGGACGAGAAGCUUGCUUCUCUGAUGUUAGCGGCGGACGGGUGAGUAACACGUGGAUAACCUACCUAUAAUACUGGGAUAACUUCGGGAAACCGGAGCUAAUACCGGAUAAUAUUUUGCACCGCAUGGUUCAAAAGUGAAAGACGGUCUUGCUGUCACUUAUAGCUGGAUCCGCGCUGCAUUAGCUAGUUGGUAAGGUAACGGCUUACCAAGGCAACGAUGCAUAGCCGACCUGAGAGGGUGAUCGGCCACACUGGAACGGAGACACGGUCCAGACUCCUACGGGAGGCAGCAGUAGGGAAUCUUCCGCAAUGGGCGAAAGCCUGACGGAGCAACGCCGCGUGAGUGAUGAAGGUCUUCGGAUCGUAAAACUCUGUUAUUAGGGAAGAACAUAUGUGUAAGUAACUGUGCACAUCUUGACGGUACCUAAUCAGAAAGCCACGGCUAACUACGUG